UAAGAAUGAACUUAGUGUGGAGGAUCUGGAAAUAUUUAAUAAACAGAUGGAAAAACAGUUUGAGAUUUGGGAGAAGGAAAUGGCGGCAAUAAAGAGUAAGAAGCUGGCAAGGGAUAUGAAUGAUGUCCAGAUGAAACGUGUAUAUAAAUGGCAACGUCCGUCGGGAGACAGGGGACGACAGAGAUCUGCCUCUAUCUCCUCAUUAUCCUCGGCGGGUGAAAAUUCGGACAACCCACGCAGAUUACAUGGAUCUAAUCAACGACAUAAAAGAAAGAAGUCUGAGUUUGUCCCUCAAGCUAAGAAGCGGUCUGAGGCUCCUCCCACAACAAGCAGCACUCCUGCUGAUACCUUACAGCUUUUGACAAAUUUACGGCAAUAAAGGAUUUGCAUCUAUUUGGACGCAAUCUUCUUUUUAAAAAAUGGCAUCACAAGACAGAUGAGUCAUUGGGCCUUACAUCCCCUGAGGAGAGACAAGCUCUUAAUGAUCUACAAGAUUUACUAUCUGAACAAGAGAUUCCAGCUGAAUAUGAGGCUAAUCUGAAGUCACUACUGGAUACAGCGGUUGAAUCAUCAGUGAUAUCAAGGAAACUGGCAGAUGCACUCCAGAUACCACAUCCGACAAUAUCGACUCUCUAUUUAUUGCCAAAGGUUCACAAGCACGCUUCUAGACCUCCAGGAAGGCCGAUCAUUUCGGGCACAGGAUUGAUGGCAUUCAAUUGGAACCAGACACUCUUCUUGUUACAUGUGAUGUGGAAUCGCUGUAUACUAGCAUCAACCAUACGGACGGAUUGUCGGCAUCAAGUUUCUUUU
This is a long non-coding RNA of Hyla sarda, 810 nucleotides long. RefSeq lists it as uncharacterized. The record is from RefSeq and is a predicted model, not a curated record. NCBI's taxonomy places the organism in Eukaryota, Metazoa, Chordata, Amphibia, Anura, Hylidae. The transcript has 4 exons.